This 446-nucleotide ribosomal RNA is filed under the name uncultured bacterium. Its description in RNAcentral is "bacterial SSU rRNA". It matches the Rfam family "Bacterial small subunit ribosomal RNA", at positions 958 to 1398 of the family's 1533-position model. The record is from RNAcentral.
AACGCGAAGAACCUUACCUGGCCUUGACAUGCUGGUAGUAGAAGCCGGAAACGGUGACGACUCCUCGCAAGAGGAGAGCCAGCACAGGUGCUGCAUGGUUGUCGUCAGCUCGUGUCGUGAGGUGUUGGGUUAAGUCCCGCAACGAGCGCAACCCUUACUCAUAGUUGCUACCCGCAAGGGAGAACUCUAUGAGGACUGCUCCGGAUAACGGAGAGGAAGGUGGGGAUGAGGUCAAGUCAGCAUGGCCUUUAUGUCCAGGGCUACACACGUGUUACAAUGCGCGCUACAGAGCGUUGCAAACCCGCGAGGGGGAGCUAAUCGCACAAAAGCGCGCUCAGUUCGGAUUGCAGUCUGCAACUCGACUGCAUGAAGCCGGAAUCGCUAGUAAUGGCGCAUCAGAACGGCGCCGUGAAUACGUUCCCGGGCCUUGUACACACCGAGACGUA